This 447-nucleotide ribosomal RNA is filed under the name uncultured bacterium. RNAcentral describes it as "bacterial SSU rRNA". It matches the Rfam family "Bacterial small subunit ribosomal RNA", at positions 355 to 825 of the family's 1533-position model. The record is from RNAcentral.
UGGGGAAUAUUGGACAAUGGGCGCAAGCCUGAUCCAGCCAUGCCGCGUGAGUGACGAAGGUCUUCGGAUUGUAAAGCUCUUUUGCCAGGGACGAUAAUGACGGUACCUGGAGAAUAAGCCCCGGCUAACUUCGUGCCAGCAGCCGCGGUAAUACGAAGGGGGCUAGCGUUGUUCGGAAUUACUGGGCGUAAAGCGCACGUAGGCGGAUUUGUUAGUCAGGGGUGAAAUCCCGGGGCUCAACCUCGGAACUGCCUUUGAUACUGCAAGUCUCGAGUCCGAUAGAGGUGAGUGGAAUUCCUAGUGUAGAGGUGAAAUUCGUAGAUAUUAGGAAGAACACCAGUGGCGAAGGCGGCUCACUGGAUCGGUACUGACGCUGAGGUGCGAAAGCGUGGGGAGCAAACAGGAUUAGAUACCCACGUAGUCCCUGAGCGGGCUGGCAAGGCGCAU